GCGAGAGUGGCGGAAUUGGCAGACGCGCUGGAUUUAGGAUCCAGUGGGUAAAACCGUAGGGGUUCGAGUCCCCUCUCUCGCA
Molecule: transfer RNA, 82 nt
Filed under: Candidatus Dadabacteria bacterium
Lineage: Bacteria; Pseudomonadati; Thermodesulfobacteriota; Candidatus Dadabacteria
Also listed under: 1 other name
Description: tRNA-Leu
Rfam family: tRNA
About the family: Transfer RNA (tRNA) molecules are approximately 80 nucleotides in length. Their secondary structure includes four short double-helical elements and three loops (D, anti-codon, and T loops).
Source: RNAcentral